GAUGAAGAACGCAGUGAAAUGCGAUAAGUAAUGUGAAUUGCAGAAUCCAGUGAAUCAUCGAAUCUUUGAACGCACAUUGCGCCCGCCAGCAUUCUGGCGGGCAUGCCUGUUCGAGCGUCAUUUCAACCCUCGACCUCCCUUUGGGGAAGUCGGCGUUGGGGACCGGCAGCACACCGCCGGCCCUGAAAUGGAGUGGCGGCCCGUCCGCGGCGACCUCUGCGUAGUAAACCAACUCGCACCGGAACCCCGACGUGGCCACGCCGUAAAACACCCAACUUCUGAACGUUGACCUCGAAUCAGGUAGGACUACCCGCUGAACUUAAGCAUAUCAAUAAGCGGAGGA
This 343-nucleotide unclassified non-coding RNA is filed under the name soil metagenome. Its description in RNAcentral is "partial contains 5.8S ribosomal RNA, internal transcribed spacer 2, and large subunit ribosomal RNA". The stretch from base 1 to 120 matches the Rfam family "5.8S ribosomal RNA", at positions 35 to 154 of the family's 154-position model. The record is from RNAcentral.